AGUUCUGGAGGUUAGAAGUUGAAAUCAAGAUGUCCGAAGGCUCAUGCUGUCUCUGAAGACUCUGUGGGAGGAUCAUUCCUUACCUCUUCCUAGCUUCUGGUAUUCCCAUCCGAACAACCUUGGACAACUCAACAACUGUUCAGUAUGCAGGCCUUCUUCAUCACCUGACAAUGAAAGCCAAAAGCACAGUUCGCGAUAUUGAUCCUCAGAACGACCUGACUUUUCUUAGGAUCAGAUCAAAGAAACACGAAAUCAUGGUAGCUCCAGAUAAGGAAUAUCUUCUGAUCGUCAUUCAGAAUCCAUGUGAAUAGACCUGCGAUGGCCAAGGCUGUCUAAGCGACACUGGGUUGGAAACACUUGGCUCUCUCAUGAGUAUUAAAAUUCUAUUUCAAUCUAA
RNAcentral lists this small RNA (397 nucleotides) under Pongo abelii (Sumatran orangutan). RNAcentral describes it as "processed transcript". Lineage: Eukaryota; Metazoa; Chordata; Mammalia; Primates; Hominidae. The record is from RNAcentral.